Molecule: long non-coding RNA, 1193 nt
Filed under: Cricetulus griseus (Chinese hamster)
Lineage: Eukaryota; Metazoa; Chordata; Mammalia; Rodentia; Cricetidae
Description: lncRNA (ENSCGRG00015039724.1)
Source: RNAcentral
CAGAAUGUGGGAGUCUGCAGUAACCCUGUGCUAAUCCAGGAGAAAACUUGCAGACACCAGGUUCUGGGUCCUGAUGGCUUCUCCCUAGACUACAAAGUCCAAGUACCAAGAAUCCUGGCAACCGGAUACAAAAAAUUAACCAUGGCAAGUGUCCUUCAAAGAGGCCCAGACCAACGAAAGAUGUGGAGAAGAUUCAGCGUGGACUUUCUGCCACUGUGAGAAAUAAUCAACACCACCAAUUUAAAGGAUGCGAUUCAUUUUGUCUCACAGUUGGGAGAUCUCAGUCUCUCUGAUUCCAAGAAAAGAGAAGCAUAAUUAUUCCACCUCUUCCACCUGAUGCCAAAACCUUCUUGUGCACAAAUGCAAGCGUAGUAGGAGUUUUCCAGCAUGUUGAAAUGUUCCACAGGCACUAUGUACAACAGCUUGCAAAUAUUGCUCUUUUGCCGUCUGAGAGGAAGGAGUUGAAAGCCUGGAUCUGUCGCUUCUCCUGGCUAAGGUCAAGCUUCCUCUGCUCAACCCCAGUCUUCUCCUAAGCUGGUAGCUGUGUAACACCUAAACCCGAGCAAACUCAGGAUGGAGAAUUACUUCCUGACACCUUCCUGUGGCCAAUCACAAGACCACACAUGGGGCAGGAAAAGAAAAACAUCCUUUUCUUUUCCUUCUACAGACUUUUCAAUAGGGCAUUUAUUCUGUCUUUAAUUUGGGGUACUCUUGGAGUCUUAACUUAUGAUUAAGGAAGGUUCUUGAGGAGCCGGAGAGAUGGCUGAAUCUGUAAAGUACUUACUGUGCAAGCAGGGGAAGCUGGGUUUGGAACCCCCGCACUCACGUAAAAAGAGAGACUGAGUUUGGAUCAGCAGCAUCCAUGUAAAAAGCCAGCAGCACAUAUGAAAUCCCAGCACUGGGGAGGGGAGACAGGAGGAUGCCUGUGGCUGGCUGACCCCCAGUCUAGUGGAAUCAGUGAAAAGCAGAUUCGCAGGAGGUCUGUCUCAAAAUCUAAAGUAGGGAGCAGUUAAGGAAGCUGCUUGGCUUCAACUGCUGACCUACACACACACACACACACACACACACACACACACACACACACACACACCAUAUAAAUUUACAGGUCACAGGGUUCUUGAAUUGUUUAAUUACUUGUUUUGACUUAUAAUAAAUUAUAAUAUGAAUAUAAUCUUUAAAGACAAAGUAUCAGC